GUUUUGUCACGGGAAUCGAUCCGCGGAUUUCCGCCCUGGGCAAUGAGCUCUAGGGCUUCCUCGUCGCGACAGGAAUGCGGGGGAGAGCCGCGGCGGCCCGAGAUCCAGGUACGAGGGUUUCGAUUCGAGCUGCCGGGAGCGCGGCGGUGAUGGCAGCUCUCUUUUCUGAGGUGCCAGGCGACCUCCUCUUCCUUUUUAGGGUUUUGAGGCCAUGAUGGAGGAGCACGAGUGUGCAUGCGGCGAGUCCGUGGCGGCCGCCUCGCCCGACGAGGCCGGGGACGACGCCGCACCGGCUCUGGAAUCGAUCUCCGGGGGCAAAGUGAUGGAGCAGAGAUUGAGCUCGGCUACCGUGGUUUUCGAGGGUAAGGUGGAAACUAGGAUGGACGGGGACGUGGUUGUGGCCGCUAGCGACUCGGUUAAGUCGGAAGAAGGCAGUGAUGGAAGGCAGCCGGACGAGGUGAAAUUGGAGGAGCUCGAGGAGAGCGUCUUGCCGGUGCUCAAGGCGACGCAGCCUCUGAGGGAGUAUAAGAAGCGCAAGAGGGAUGUUAGCGGAGAACUCGACUUCGAGGUUUUGAUGGGGAGCGCGGACAAGAUGCCGGCUCAGCAAGAGUGUGAGGCUUUUCCGGCCGUGUCCGUGGGCUUGAAGCCGGAUCAGCUCAGCUCCACCGAGAGGGUUCGUUUCAAAGAGGUUGUGAAGCGCAAGACGAAGGUUGCCGAGUAUCUGGAAUGCAGGAACUUUAUAUUGCAGCUGUGGACGAAAGAUGUGCGGCGCCAUUUGACUGUCGCGGACUGUGGCGUGAGUGAGGUAGCGCAGCUCAACGAACCGCCUCGAGCUGGACUUGUCCGAAACAUUCAUGAGUUUCUAGACUAUCACGGAUACAUUAACACUGGCAUCGUGAAAAGAGUCAAGUUCGAAGAACAACAGGGUGAAGAAUUCAGGGAAGGGACAGGGGAUGAACCCUUGGGCUUCAUCCACAAAGUACAGGAAAACGGACAUAUUCCUGCUUCAGAUGCCACAACACCAAUGGAUAUAGAUGGCAGCGCAGAUGUUUCAAGUGACAGGGAGAAGGGCCAUGAUAGGAAACGGAUUAUAGUUGUAGGUGGUGGUCCGGCUGGAUUAGUUGCCGCGAGGCAUAUGCAGCGUAUGAACUUCGACGUAAUGAUUCUUGAGGCUCGGGAUAGAGUUGGCGGUCGAGUGUAUACUGAUCGCUCGACGUUUUCAGUGCCGGUAGAUUUGGGAGCUAGCAUUAUUACAGGUGUAGAAGCUGAUGCGGAAAGAAGAGCGGACCCUUCGGCUUUGAUCUGCAGGCAGCUUGGUCUCGGACUAACGUCGGUUCGGGGGGAUUGUCCGCUGUAUGAUAGUGUAACAGGUCGUAAGGUUCCGGCUGACAUAGACGCAGCUCUCGAGGACAAGCUGAAUACUCUACUGGAUGAUACUAUUACCAUAGUGGCUCAAAACAGCGACGCGGCACUACGAAUGUCACUUGAGGAGGGUCUUGAGCAAGCGCUUUCGAAGCGGAAGGGAUUACAUAUACCGAAGAGCACAAUCCUCGACCAAAGUCAAGUUACAGUCGCGGAUGUGACGCAGGCGAAGAUAACUGAGCUUGCGAGCAGUGCUCCAGAUCCUUCGACUGAGGACGGUGUACUGCAUCAACAAGACGGUUUAAGCUGUUCGCUUGAGCUUGAAAGACGAAUCAUGGAUUGGCAUUUUGCGAACCUGGAGUACGGCUGCGCUGCUCAGCUGGAGAAAGUAUCCCUCGCCUACUGGAACCAGGACGAUACUUACGGCGGUUUUGCUGGGCCACACUGCAUGAUAAAGGGCGGGUAUGGCACUUUGGUGGAAGCUUUAGCUCAAGGUUUGGACGUGAAGCUCGGGAGAGUAGUUACAGAAGUUUCAUACACUGCAAAGGACGUCCAUAUCAAAACCGGGAAAAAGAAGCAAGUGAGAGUGAAGACAGAGGAUGGCGAAGUCCACAUGUGCGACGCUGUUCUGGUAACAGUUCCGCUUGGGUGCUUGAAAGCCCAGUCCAUCAAGUUCGUCCCGCAACUACCGUCCUGGAAGUCCGGUUCCAUUAGUCGGCUUGGCUUUGGUACGCUGAACAAGGUCGUGCUCGAAUUCGAGACCGUGUUCUGGGAUGAGAACGUGGAUAUAUUUGGUGCUACUGGGGAAGACACAGAGUCCCGCGGCAGAUGUUUUAUGUUCUGGAAUCUGGUCAAGACAGUCGGUGCUCCGGUUCUGAUAGCGCUCGUAGUGGGGAAAGCUGCAGUGGACGACGCAAAGUCUGGCUCGUCUUUCCUCGUGUCUCAUGCUGUUGAGAUCCUUCGGAAGCUUUACGGUCGUACGAAAGUUCCGGAGCCCAAGACUUUUAAAGUGACAGACUGGGGAUCAGAUCAGUACAGCAGAGGUGCGUAUUCUUACGUAGCUGUUGGUGCUUCUGGCGAAGACUACGAUAUACUGGGACGACCUGUGGAAGAUUGCGUGUUUUUCGCGGGUGAGGCAACUUGCAAGGAGCACCCUGAUACCGUGGGAGGAGCCAUUUUGAGUGGUCUGAAAGAGGCUGUGCGGAUACUUGAUAUUUUGGAAAACAGAGGGGACCUGAUUGAAGAGGCUGAGGAAAUGACUGCCGCACAGAGGCAACCUGACAGCGAGAGAAACGAAGUUAGAGACAUGCAAAUCAGGAUUCAGGCUGCCGAGUAUGCAAACAAUAAGUACAGGGAAGGAAACUCUUUGGAUGGCGAGGAUGAGCCUUUCACGAGAGCGGACCUCUUAAAAGACAUGUUCCGAAACGCUAAGACUACAGCCGGAAAAUUGUUUCUGGCAAAAGAGAUGACCGGACUGUCAGCGUCCUCCGUGAAGGGUUUUGUGGGAACUAAAACUGGACUCUCAAUAUUGAACUCAUGGAUACUGGAUUCUAUGGGAAAGGAUGGAACACAACUCUUACGACUCUGUCUUCGUCUUCUUCUUACCGUAGCUACGGAUAUGCUUGCUGUUCGUCUUUCUGGUAUUGGAAGAACAAUUAAAGAAAAAGUAUGCCAACACACAUCGAGAGAUAUCCGCGCAUUGGCAGGCCAACUGGUGGCGAUGUGGUGCGAGUUUUACCGUCGGGAAAAGGCCAUGCUGAAGCAGUUUAGGAAAAACGUCGUGAAAAAGGAGGACGAUACUGCUGUUUCUUCUGCUCCCGCAUGCUCAUCGUCGCAAAGGGACCACAGCCACGGAAAUGCUGAACAGGCGACCAGUAGACACGAGCAGAAAAACGGUGCUUCGAGUUCAGAAGGUCCGGUAGAAUUUGAAUCCGGAGAAAACGAGCCUCUUAUUUCGGACUUGGAGGCUGCUGCUCGUGCCAGGGCGGAAGCGUGUCAAGCUGCCGCUCUUGCUGCUGCUGAGGCGUAUGCAAAUGCCGAAGCCGAGCGAACAGCUCUCCCUGAACCCCCGAAGAUCUUGUCUUUUCACAAAUUUGCAAAGCGGGAAAAGGUCGUGACGAAAGAUGUUCCAGUGGACCUGAAGAGAAGGAAAUUCCCCGAGGUUCUGAAUCGGAGGCCGAGCGAUGGCUCUCGGAGACUUUCGGGCUUGCCUUUAGAUCUCAGUGGCAGCUGUAGUAACGCAAGUAGUCCGAACGUUGUUCUGCAAGGCGAAGGUAAUUCACAGGUCAUGGGUGAGUAUCUCGGACCGCAGCAUCAGGAACAGGUUAUAGAUGCAGAGAUGGUUGGGAAAGGGACAGCAAACUUCGAAACUUUUAGUGUGGGCGAUAGGCUGAGGGAUGACAGGAAACGACGGGGAUUUCCAUCCGAAUCCUAUGAAGUUAAGGACCGUUGCACUCCGGAUCAGAUCAAGAAGGCUUUAUCAGAGUACGUUGUCCAUUUAUUGACACCUUUGUACAAGACCAGAAAGAUCCAGAAGGACGCGUUCAAAGCCAUCGCAAAAAAGACAACCAUGAAGGUGAUGGAACGAGAUGGGAUACGCGAUACUGACGUAAACAUUUCAGACUAUCUUAACGGCAAGAGGAAGAAUAAGAUAAGAGAACUCGUCGACAAAUUUGUGGAAAAGCACCUCGCGGAGACGAAGCAAUCGGCAGGUUCCCCCGGCAACUAACGGAGACAAUCUCCUCGCAAGGUCGGCUGGACGAUAUGCUCUCAGCUUUUGGCUUGGAAGAGCUUGGAGAGGAGCACUUCCAGAAUAGAUUUGGUGCUCUCCUAUGUUCUAGUCGAGUGGGAUGCAAGCAAGGCCAAAGCUUAGCGUGAUGCUUUCUUCCUGGAGAGGCCGGAUUGCUGGAGCCUUACCUCGUUCAGCUCCGCUGUUGUGGCCUUCACAACCUCUUGUGCUUCUGCCAGUUCGCCUCUCAAGUUCCCUCCUCGACUCUUCUAGCUCUCGCGCCAGGCUAUCCAACAAAUCAUUCGCGCCGGCAAGCUCUUGCAUCGUAUCAAACGCCAGCUGCUGCAGUUUAGCCAGCCCUUCAGCGAUGUUCUCGCUUCCCGUCAGUUUUCAGCUCCUGCUCCACCGCAGCCAGUUUCUAACAAGGUUGAACGAGUCAGAAGAAAAAGGAACAAGAAGACGGGAAUUGUAGCGCCGAGCGCGUGGAUCUCGCGUCCAAGUCCAUGUCCGCUCUAGUUCGGCACGCACAGCCCAUGCAGUAGCUCCGGAACAUCGAGUCGGGAGCUCCAACUCUCGCAACUUUAAAAGUGUCGUGUUCUACUGCCGCUCCUCGGUUUUCUGGUCGCGAGCCAACACGGUGCCAUUAGCGAUGCGUAUAUCCAUCAUCCAUAUCCACGGGAGAUUUUCGUUCGGCCGUCGUUGCUCGACAGACGCGAUCGCGCCAGCUGGAAGCGUGUCCAGUGCCAUCCUCUGCCGCGUGUUAGCUGCCGUGUCGCCUU
Molecule: RNA transcript, 4869 nt
Organism: Selaginella moellendorffii
Lineage: Eukaryota; Viridiplantae; Streptophyta; Lycopodiopsida; Selaginellales; Selaginellaceae
Gene name: lysine-specific histone demethylase 1 homolog 3
Exons: 16
Source: RefSeq, a predicted model, not a curated record